Molecule: long non-coding RNA, 1569 nt
Organism: Phymastichus coffea
Lineage: Eukaryota; Metazoa; Arthropoda; Insecta; Hymenoptera; Eulophidae
Exons: 5
Source: RefSeq, a predicted model, not a curated record
GCAGCGUGGCGCGACAGGCAAACGCGGAUCAUCAGUUGACUUUGAACGACGCCUUGCCGCGCUUGUGCCCGUCUGGGAGUGAAUAUUACGUGCGUGUUACGCAUCUCUCGGUCUCUCCCUCCGAGACCAUUAGCAAAUAGUGUUGAUCGCAAGUAAAACAACGCUGACUCGAGUGUUUGACGAUGACGUGGCAAUACCGACCAUACAGUGCCUCACUGCUGCGUCGCUGACUUUCUUUAAUCUUAUACAAAACGGCACUGUGGCUUUCAAGUUCAAGGUUACGUCGCUGGAAAAAUUGAAGACAGCUACGUUGAGUUACAACAGAUAUAAUAUCCUUCGCACAUUCGAAUUAAGAGUCACAUAAAACGGCGGCAGCGCGGAGAGUCGACGACGAGGGGCGCCACAGGGAGAGAAGAGGACGUCGAACGUAGGGAGCUGCUGCUGCGAGAGAAACAGAGAGAAAAGAUAUGCCGGCUGGCGAGCAGAUGGUUGCUCCGUUUAUUGGUUUAUUCGCUGGCGGCGGCUCGGCCCACGAGCUCUCUCUCUCUCUCUCUCUCUCUCUCCGUUCCCCUUAGUGCUGUUGCUGUUGAACGGGAGUGCCGCCGCUGUCGUCCGGCACCUUUUUUUAAUGUCGAGAGAGAGAGAGAGAGAGGCCCCCAGGCUAAGGAGCAGACGAGUGAACGAGACCGAGUCGCGCGAUCACAACUGCACACGUAGACUCAGACAGGAGAGAGCUGGGAAGAGAGCAAUGUCUGGCACAGUCCAUACACGCGCGAGAGGAGAGGAGAAGAUAUUCGUCGAGGGCGCGAUGAAAGCUGGUGGAUGAGAUGGCACACAUAGACGCGCGCACAGGUUGGCAAGACAGCGGUAGCGUCACAUUGGCCUAGUAGAAGUGUAUCAUCUCGUAACCGCCUCACUUCGUGCGUUGCAUAGCUGGCAAGAAAAGUAGCGUGCAGAAAAGGACCUGUACCGUUUAUAACAAGAUGAAGGUGCAUCGCAGACCAGCCAGAGAAAGAUUGGCUGUGUCAUCCUCGGCCCGUUAACGUCAGUCCUCUCAAGGCGGUCCCUUCGCCGCACGCGCCCUAUCAAUCAAUAUCGACCAAGCAGGUGUAAGCCAAUCACUGCCAUUGUGUCGGACAAAUUAUUUUUUUUAUUCUUUCUUUGUCGUCGUUGUACGCGUGCCAUUGUAUAUUUUGUAAGCGAUAAGCAAGCUCUUAUUAAUGUUUUGACAGAGAAAGUUUGUCUAUAUAAGAUGUGCAUUAGUCUUUCUACUUUUCCAUGUGAGAGAUGCAGUUUUAAAGAGGUCACUCCAUCGGCUUGCUAUACGUCAGUGUAAUUGAUCGUUGAUUCUUUUUUUAUCUGUUGCUAAUUAGUUAUCGUGAUGGAUAGACUGAUUGAAUCGACGUAUGUUUAAAUCCUUGACGAAGGCAUCGAAUACUUUUUCAGUAUUUUUAAAUGUAUUACACGGAAAUUUCUCCUUUGAAAGCCGACUGUAUAGAAUGAAGAUUUUUUUCAUCCCAACCAUAUUAGUUUUUUAAUGAAACCUCGUCAAUAUAAUAUAAUAAAGUA